GCCUCCAACUCGCUAGGCCCAACGCCCUCCGAAUGCCAGGGAUGCUCCGCCCCCGCCCGCCUCCUGGUCCCCAUUGGCUGCCGAAGCUGCCAAUCCCAGGGGCGGGGCUAUCAGAGGACGCUCCAGGCACCAGCUGGAGGGCGCGGGACUGUUGGGAAAGUGCUGGGAGUACAGGCGGGUGGUGACAGUCAACACGGGCCGUGGCCCAGGCGAGCCUCGUUCGCCACGCCCAGAGAGCUGCGCCGCAGGGCCCAGCGGUGAGGGCCGGACGGGCCACGCUUCUGGCGAGGGGAGGCUGAGGCGCGGGCUGAAGAGGGGAGCCGGUGAGGCCCGGCCACGGCCGCCAUCUUGGGUACGGGCAGCGGUCACAUGGUGCGGCCUGCUCCCGGCGACGCAGGGUGGUGCGAAGGCCGAGUGCGCAGGCGCGAGGGCCUCGCCCUACCCCGCGGCGGGAACGCGGCUUUGGGGGCGCGGGGCCCGGCCGGCCGGCCUGCCCGGCGGGCGCGGAACGAGCGCAGUGCGCCUGCGCCGGCGGAGGGCCAGGGGCAGCGCGAGCGCUCUUCGAGUCCGGUCCGAGUUUUCCGGUCUCGGGCGGAGGCCGCAGAAACGUCCUCCCACCCACUUUCCGGUCGUUCCGGGCGCGCGUGCACCUCGGGCGGGGGUCUCGGCCAAUCCGUUCACCCCGAGUGCUCAGCGUCUGUGCUGUGCCCUGCCGAGGCCUUCAGAGACUCCCGUUGAGCCGCACCCCCGGAGGGCGUGAUGGGGUCUGCGGCGAGAUCAGAGCUGUGAAGCCCACUGAGCAGCCCAUCCCGAGUGUCACACCUGCGUGGGGAUAGCCCUGCCAGCGUUGGGGGGGAUGCUCCUGCAAAGGAUGGAGCCUCCAGAGAAGAAAACACUUAAAACAGUGGUGUUCAAACUGCAGCCCUUGCGGAACUGUUUUGUUUAUUAAAAAAAAAAAAAAAAGCUUGCUGUAGUAAAAAUGCUGCAUGGGAUCUCUAUGGUUCUAGAAUGACUUCGCUUCCAUGAAACUUGAUUCCUUGCAAGAGACUUUGAACCUUUCAGGAUAUGUCACACCAAACAUGGUGACCCGUGCUCAAAAAACUUGAGAUUUAACAGCCAAAUGUUGUUAGAUAACAGUGUUGUGUUU
Molecule: long non-coding RNA, 1147 nt
Organism: Bos taurus (domestic cattle)
Lineage: Eukaryota; Metazoa; Chordata; Mammalia; Artiodactyla; Bovidae
Source: Ensembl